AUAUCACCAUGUCAAUGACCAAUUUAGUCUGAUCUCUGAAGCUAAGCAAGGUUGGGCCUGGUUAGUGUUUGAAUAGGAGACCACUGGGAAUAUAUCAGGUA
This 101-nucleotide ribosomal RNA is filed under the name Periophthalmus magnuspinnatus. Lineage: Eukaryota; Metazoa; Chordata; Actinopteri; Gobiiformes; Gobiidae. The record is from RNAcentral.